UGGCUCAUUAAAUCAGUUAUCGUUUAUUUGAUAGUACCUUACUACUUGGAUAACCGUGGUAAUUCUAGAGCUAAUACAUGCUGAAAACCCCAACUUCGGAAGGGGUGUAUUUAUUAGAUAAAAAACCAAUGCCCUCCGGGGCUCUUUGGUGAUUCAUGAUAACUUCUCAGAUCGCAUGGCCUUGCGCCGGCGACGGUUCAUUCAAAUUUCUGCCCUAUCAACUUUCGAUGGUAAGGUAUUGGCUUACCAUGGUUUCAACGGGUAACGGGGAAUUAGGGUUCGAUUCCGGAGAAGGAGCCUGAGAAACGGCUACUACAUCCAAGGAAGGCAGCAGGCGCGCAAAUUACCCAAUCCCGACGCGGGGAGGUAGUGACAAUAAAUACUGAUACAGGGCUCUUUUGGGUCUUGUAAUUGGAAUGAGUACAAUUUAAACCUCUUAACGAGGAACAAUUGGAGGGCAAGUCUGGUGGCUUUACAUGCUGACGCCAGAGGUAGUCGGGCAGUCUUCCGUGGGGAGCUGUUAUCCCGGCUAGUCGAGUACCUGUCAAUGAUGGGAUGGUACCGGCAAGACAACCUGGGUCGGGGGAGGCUAAGGCGCCGACGGCGUUAUGUUGAUCCCGAGCAGAGCUACCCCGAAGCAAUUUGGGUGUGGCCUGUGUAGAGCGCGCAAAGGUGUCGGCCAGCUCAUGCAGCUGGCUUAAGGGACGUGCCAUUCCCGCCUGAAAGGGUGGAUACCCGCAGAAGUGCCCAUCACACGACUGCCGGUAAGUUCAAUGUUUGAACGCAAUUUUAUGAGGCCAGCAGCCGCGGUAAUUCCAGCUCCAAUAGCGUAUAUUAAAGUUGUUGCAGUUAAAAAGCUCGUAGUUGAACCUUGGGCCUGGCUGGCAGGUCCGCCUCACCGCGUGUACUUGACCGGCCGGGCCUUCUCUUCUGGAGAACCUCAUGCCCUUUACUGGGCGUGCUGGGGACCAGGACUUUUACUUUGAAAAAAUUAGAGUGUUCAAAGCAGGCCUUUGCUCGAAUAUGUUAGCAUGGAAUAAUAGAAUAGGACGCGCGAUCCUAUUUUGUUGGUUUCUAGGACCGCCGUAAUGAUUAAUAGGGACAGUCGGGGGCAUCAGUAUUCAAUUGUCAGAGGUGAAAUUCUUGGAUUUAUUGAAGACUAACUACUGCGAAAGCAUUUGCCAAGGAUGUUUUCAUUAAUCAGUGAACGAAAGUUAGGGGAUCGAAGACGAUCAGAUACCGUCGUAGUCUUAACCAUAAACUAUGCCGACUAGGGAUCGGGCGGUGUUUCAAUAUUGACUCGCUCGGCACCUUACGAGAAAUCAAAGUGU
This 1331-nucleotide ribosomal RNA is filed under the name Aquilomyces rebunensis. Its description in RNAcentral is "bacterial SSU rRNA". It matches the Rfam family "Eukaryotic small subunit ribosomal RNA", at positions 94 to 1106 of the family's 1831-position model. Lineage: Eukaryota; Fungi; Ascomycota; Dothideomycetes; Pleosporales; Morosphaeriaceae. The record is from RNAcentral.